Octodon degus (degu) is the source of this 107-nucleotide small nuclear RNA. The record is from Ensembl. NCBI's taxonomy places the organism in Eukaryota, Metazoa, Chordata, Mammalia, Rodentia, Octodontidae.
GUGCUUGCUUCAGCGGCACAUAUGCUAAAAUUGGAAUGAUACAGAGAAGAUUAGCAUGGCCCCUGUGCAAGGAUGACAGGCAAAGGCAUGUUUUUCUCUCUCUUUCA